Molecule: ribosomal RNA, 315 nt
Filed under: uncultured eukaryote
Lineage: Eukaryota
Description: partial 18S ribosomal RNA
Rfam family: Eukaryotic small subunit ribosomal RNA
Source: RNAcentral
CCCUUAGAUGUUCUGGGCUGCACGCGCGCUACACUGACGCACGCAACAGGUGCCUGCUCCGAGAGGACUGGGUAAUCAUUUGAGUGUGCGUCGUGAUGGGGAUAGAAUAUUGUAAUUAUUACUCUUCAACGAGGAAUUCCUAGUAAGUGCCAGUCAGCAGCUUGCGCUGAUUACGUCCCUGCCCUUUGUACACACCGCCCGUCGCUCCUACCGAUGGGUGAUCCGGUGAAUGAUUCGGACUUCAGCGGCUCCCCUGGGGUGCGCCGGAGAAAGUUUUGUGAACCUUAUCACUUGGAGGAAGGAGAAGUCGUAACA